RNAcentral lists this ribosomal RNA (252 nucleotides) under uncultured bacterium. RNAcentral's name for it is "partial 16S ribosomal RNA". It matches the Rfam family "Bacterial small subunit ribosomal RNA", at positions 524 to 776 of the family's 1533-position model. The record is from RNAcentral.
UACAGAGGUCUCAAGCGUUGUUCGGAUUCAUUGGGCGUAAGGGUGCGUAGGCGGCGCGGUAAGUCGGGUGUGAAAUCUCGGAGCUUAACUCCGAAACUGCAUUCGAUACUGCCGUGCUUGAGGACUGGAGAGGAGACUGGAAUUUACGGUGUAGCGGUGAAAUGCGUAGAUAUCGUAAGGAAGACCAGUGGCGAAGGCGGGUCUCUGGACAGUUCCUGACGCUGAGGCACGAAGGCCAGGGGAGCAAACGGG